GCGGAGGGCAAGAAGAUAUUUACAGGCUCUGAUUUAUUUUUUGACAAGCGGCCUCGACGAAGCCCCCCACCGCAGGUAUGAAACUCAAUGCAUGGCGAGAGACUCCAUCUUGAUUACUGUACCGUGGUUGAAGUAACAAUUGAUAUCUUUUAAUAUCCUGUGGUGAACUAACUUUAUACGGGUACGGUGCUCUGCGAAGGAAGGAUUUCCGUGCACAAACAUUCAGGAGGAUGCUCCGCCCAGGGCCUCAUUGAAUGUGAACUUGCGGCCAGCAGCCUGUUUUAUGACGACGCAUUAAAGAGGAGCCUGCAAGUCUCGUCCGCCGCCAACUCGCUACGCUUUAUUGAACUAAAACUGGUGUCUGCUUCGUUUGCAGUCCCUUCCCUCCGAGCUCAACCAGCAAAGAGGAAGAGGAGAAAGACGAAUGUGUGGGAGUGCGGGAGGUAUGCUGGAGGAGGAAUGCAAAAAAAAAAUGGUGUGGUAGCGGCCACACUCGGUUAACAUGCGGAAAUGACGCAUCCCCGCGCGCCCGCCUGAGGGGUACACACAGCAUCAUGAAAGGGAUUUGACUUGACACGAGUCACAGUCGCUCCAUCCCCGAUGUGGAAGAGGCGCAGGGAGGGGGAUGAAUUAUUCAACCAGCCAGUGCUUGGCCUGGCUGACGGCGUGUUGUCAUGUGGAGCUGAAGCGGCAACACCGAGCAGCGCCCUCCUCAUCACGAGAAGAGGGCAGGCAACCUGCCAUUUGCUUGAUCAGAAAGAGGGGUAUCAUGUCAUUUCAGAGCGGGAGUAAAGGCAUAGAUGCCAAAAAAAAAAAAAAAA
Long non-coding RNA from Hippocampus zosterae (dwarf seahorse), 821 nucleotides. RefSeq lists it as uncharacterized. The record is from RefSeq and is a predicted model, not a curated record. Lineage: Eukaryota; Metazoa; Chordata; Actinopteri; Syngnathiformes; Syngnathidae. The transcript has 2 exons.